CUUACUUAUUUUAUGGUUAUUGAAAAAUUUUACUUUGCCAUUCCUUUUGAUAGUAGAUUUUUUAAAUAAAAAUAGAGAUAAAACUAUUGAAUAAUUGUGUGUAAGUUUAUUAAUUAUAAGAUGGUAAACUGAGAACGAAAUAAAUCACACAGGGGCAAAUUGAAGUUCACACACUAAAAAGUAAAUUGAUUAGUUAAGAAAAUAUAUCGACAAUAUUUUGAAGUUUGAAAGAAUGUGUACAUUUUCUUAAAAAGUUUAUAAGGAUGUAGGAGUUGUUUGAAUUAGUUAUAUUCGAGCAAUUAUAAUAGAUUUUAAGUUUAAAA
RNAcentral lists this long non-coding RNA (323 nucleotides) under Ananas comosus (pineapple). RNAcentral's name for it is "long non-coding RNA (ACOM_LNC008207)". Lineage: Eukaryota; Viridiplantae; Streptophyta; Magnoliopsida; Poales; Bromeliaceae. The record is from RNAcentral.